UUAGAAAAUGAUUUCACAAAAAUAGAGUGCUCAUGUAGUUGCAUUGCAUUUAGGAUCGAGUCUAGAGUGUUUCGUUUAGGAUUGUUGCAUAUGCAUAGGGGAUAAUGAAGAGAUAGCCUUGUAAGCAUUUUAGUUCACCAGAUAAGCUCAGUGCCCUCGUUGUUAGUUGUUUGAUGCGUUGUCAUUGAAAUUGAAGUAAAACUGCACCAUGCCUAGAUUGCUCUACUCGACCACACUGUUAGGAUCUGAUAUCAUUCCCUAUCAAUUUGAACUUGAAUCUGAUUUAGAAUUAUCAUGUCUUGGCAUCGAAUUUGAACUCAUGGAUACCCUAAAAUACUUGGAUUUUCUUACUCAUUUUAACCACUCUUGUUGAUCCAAGUAGCUGACUCUCCUUAUUAGAGCAGUUAACCCAUACCCAAACCUGAACUUUCUUUCAAGCCCUAUAUCACUUGUGAGAGUUUGUGAGGUCUUAUUUCGAUUGAGUUUGGUAGAAAGUGUUAGGUUCGUAACGACAGAGAUAGUGUCUCAUGUAGUUCUAGUUCGCGUUCUUCGGACUGGAUAGGACUAGGUGGGCGCUUAUAUCAUGGGUUGGGAUGUGUUUAAAAGAAAAGAGGGAAUUCAUUGUUGAUGAGGAAAGGGAAAGAAUUCUAGGGGAAGUAAGCUAAAGAAGUUAGAAAAAAAAAAUCUAGUAAAGGUUUUGGGAAUGUUAAAGAAAAGAAUGAGGUUCUUGUUAGCUAAAGAAGAAGGGUUAAAAGCCUUUGGUUUUAAAGAUAAAAAAAAACAGGAACCUUAGUUGUUAAAGAAAUCCAACCCCGCUAGAUGUAUCAGAGCGUUGAGAAAGCUUCUCCUAGAGUUAAGAGAAAAGAAAAGAAUGAUAUGAAAAAGAGUUUGAAAGAUUCAUGAGUGCAAAGGGUAGAGUUAAGUUGGGACAGGAGUUGGGAUUACCAUUAGAACUUCAUUGUUAUACUCUGGGUAGAUGGGAUCUUAUCUAUGUAUGCAUAACUUGGGACUUACCUUUAGCAUUCUACUAAAGCUCAAUCAUUCUUGAGGGAUCCCCUGUUACUUAAGCCUAUUUUGUAAGGGACCAUCUUUGUCUCUUGACCUUCACCUUAGCCAAAUGAGUUCAUUGAUGAUGCACUGCUUGAUUCACGUUCCAGAACUAAUGAAUGUUAAAGAGAUUGGUAGAUUUGAAAGCAUGUGUAGGUCGAGUAUAAGAGACAGAUUGAUUGAUAACAAGGCAUAGCUAACGUUUUUCAGUAGAAUUCAAUCAUAUCGCAUCUUAGAACUACCAACUUGGACAUUGAUUUUAUUUGCUCUAUCAUAUGCUUUGGUUCUGAGUCCCCGCCUUCACUCCUCUCCUUCAACUAUGUCUUCUUAUUUGCUUGAGGGCAAACAAAGACUAAGUUUGGGGGAGUUGAUAUGUCUAUAAUUUGCAUAUUUUCAGUGUCCAUUCAUCAUCGUUUUGAGUCCAGUUUCGUAUCAUUCAUCACUGUUUUAUAUCAUUUCUCAUCAUGCUUGCAUACUUUGCAUGAUUAGGAUAGCUUUGCAUACAUAUUGCAUUUCUGAGUUGUUUUCAGGUGAUUUGGAGCUGUUUGCAAGCAAAUUGGAAGAAACGAGCCAGAACCAGAAGACAUACUCGACCCCCAGGUCGAGUGACUUUGGAGCCAUUCUUCCCACAUACUCGACCCCCAGGUCGAGUAACCUCAGCUCAGGCCACUCGAUGACACUACUCGACCCCCUGGUCGAGUAUCACUUCGCCACACCACCUGAUAACACUCGACCAAUCACUCUACCAAGUUACUCGACCCCCUGGUCGAGUAUCAUCACUCACCACCAUCAGCAUCACUCGACCGGACACUCGAUCACAUCUUCACAGUCUACUCAAAUCCGCACUCAACCAGAAAAGCUGAGCACAAGGGAGGGAAGAGGAGAAGACAAAGUGUUUGGAAGCGGCCUGGACCUCCAUCGGAUCACGAAGCCCAUCUCGGCCCAUUAUCUCUCUAUGGGCCGAGCGAUUAGGUUAUUGGCCCGUCUACUAUCAUUUUAUUUCGUUUUGUACAAAUAGAUGUCUUAGGGUUCUGUCCUGGGACAUCCAGUCGACAUUGAAUUUUUGCUUCAGUUUUAUUUUCUAUUUUACUCUACUGCGCCGUUUUUGCUUCUGCAACCUGUAAUUCGAGAUUUUUCCAAGUUAUUCAGAUUCCGCAUUUGAUUUCAUCUGUCAUCUUGUUUCUCUACUCUUUAUCUCUUUACUUAUGCAAUAUUAUCGUUUAUCUGCGUUUAUAUCUUUGAGCAUGUUGUCUGAGUAGUAGACUUAGAAUUCUUAGGGAUGGGAUAAAGUAGUUGUGGAAUUCGUAGUCUGUAGAAUGGUUAAGUUUUAGAAUUGAUUGAAUCCCUUUAGGACUAGUUGCGUUUACUGCUUAUUUCUUUCUGAUCAACUGGAAUUCGAUCCCAAGCAUUCCCGCACCCAGAAGGUGUUCGAUGGAAUGCUUGAUCCACUAGUUCCUGAGAUAUGCGUCUCUAUCCCAAGGGAUUGGCUGUUUAGAGCGUUUAUUGACUUUAUCAGUCUGUUCUUAUUGCCUACAUAGUUAGAUUCCGUUAAUGGGAAUUAGUCUGGGCUAGCUUUGCUUGAGGAUUUCUAUCACGGGAGUGAAUUGAUCUGUUGUUGAACCUGUUGUCUAGGGAUAGCUUGAUUGCGCUUGUUAACCAUUCGAAUAGGCUAGGAUACCACUCUACUCGAUUACCCCAUCCUUAGGAAUUUCUCGUCUAUCUUAUUUCUCUGUUUUAUCGUUAUCGCUUAAUCGUUCUCAUUGCCUGCUUCUUAGUAUUUACAAUCACUCGACCAACUUACUCGACCACACCCAGUGUCUGGCAACAGACUGUGCAGUCGAGUAAGAUUGUCUUGUUUCCUGUCUGUUACUCGUCCAGUAUACUCGACCACACCCAGUGUCUGGCAACAGACUGUGCAGUCGAGUAUAGCUGUUUCAUAUCCUGUCUGUUACUCGACCUGUUACUCGACCACAUCCUACUUCUGGCAUCAGCCUGUUGUGGUCGAGUGAAUUUAGUAAUUCUGUUAUUGCUUCUGUUUUCUGCAUGUUCGCUUAGGACUGUUAGAAACCCCAAAACUGUUAUUGCUUGGCUUGACUUAAUGACUUCUGAUCACAUCUCAUCUGUUUGCAUCACACCCAUUUGGAUUGACACCUAAAAUACUACAAUGACAUGAAUUGUGUUUUAGGAUAAUUGAUUAAAA
RNAcentral lists this small RNA (3247 nucleotides) under Arabidopsis thaliana (thale cress). RNAcentral's name for it is "ATSL040370". The record is from RNAcentral. Lineage: Eukaryota; Viridiplantae; Streptophyta; Magnoliopsida; Brassicales; Brassicaceae.